Maniola jurtina (meadow brown) is the source of this 77-nucleotide long non-coding RNA. RefSeq lists it as uncharacterized. Lineage: Eukaryota; Metazoa; Arthropoda; Insecta; Lepidoptera; Nymphalidae. The record is from RefSeq and is a predicted model, not a curated record. The transcript is spliced from 3 exons.
GUCAUAAAAAUAAAAACAUAGCGCGUAGGCAACAACCAAUAGCAGACGGACGCGCACUAUGAUUGGCUAAGAUAUUU